GGAGUAUAAAAACUACUCAAAGCCAGGAAUGGUAGUGCACCCCUAGUAGUCAAAGCCACUGGGGAGGCUGAGCCACCAAUUCCCCUGAGCUCUCCAGUUCAAGGACAGUGAAAUUGCUCUGUAUAAUACUGUAACGGUGAAAACAAGUCAUUCAUUUGUAAAACCAUAGAAGAUAUCACAAAGAAUAAUUCAAAUUAGGAGCAUAAACCAGAUUCAUACUGCCCCUGCUAGAUUCCAAUCCUGGCUCUGCUACUAAAUAAAUG
Non-coding RNA from Heterocephalus glaber (naked mole-rat), 263 nucleotides. Lineage: Eukaryota; Metazoa; Chordata; Mammalia; Rodentia; Bathyergidae. The record is from RefSeq and is a predicted model, not a curated record.